AUUGAACGCUGGCGGCAUGCCUAACACAUGCAAGUCGAACGAGUGGCGGACGGGUGAGUACUGUCUGGGAAACUGCUCGAAGGAGGGGGAUAACUACUGGAAACGGUAGCUAAUACCGCAUACCAUCGGAUGUGCCCAGAUGGGAUUAGCUUGUAGUUGAGGUCACGGCGAACCUAGGCGACGAUCCCUAGCUGGUCUGCGAGGAUGACCGGCCACACUGGAACUGAGACACGGUCCAGACUCCUACGGGAGGCAGCAGUGGGGAAUAUUGCACAAGGGGCGCAAGCCUGAUGCAGCCAUGCCGCGGGUAUGAAGAAGGCUUUCGGGUUGUAAAGUACUUUCAUCGGGGAGGCGUUACCCGCAGAAGAAGCACCGGCUAACUCCGUGCCAGCAGCCGCGGUAAUAC
This 406-nucleotide ribosomal RNA is filed under the name uncultured bacterium. RNAcentral's name for it is "partial 16S ribosomal RNA". It matches the Rfam family "Bacterial small subunit ribosomal RNA", at positions 30 to 526 of the family's 1533-position model. The record is from RNAcentral.